This 804-nucleotide long non-coding RNA is filed under the name Pan troglodytes (chimpanzee). Its description in RNAcentral is "long non-coding RNA NONPTRT013373". Lineage: Eukaryota; Metazoa; Chordata; Mammalia; Primates; Hominidae. The record is from RNAcentral.
CAGACAACCGCCCAACACGUGAGCCAAGCAGACAACCGCCCAACACGUGAGCCACGCAGACCACAACCUCCAGCACACAAGCCACAUAAACAACUUCCCAACACGUAAGGCACGCAGACCACAACUUCCCAACACGUAAGCCAAGCAGACAACCGCCUAACACAUGAGCCACGCAGACCACAACCUCCAGCACACAAGCCACAUAAACAACUUCCCAACACAUAAGGCACGCAGACCACAACCUCCCAACAGAUAAGCCACACAGACCACAGCAACUUUCCAACACACAAGCCAUGCAAACCACAAACUCCCAAAAGGCGAGCCAAGCAACCGCCCCACACGUGAGCCACGCAGACCGCAACCGCCCCACACGUGCGCCACGCAGACCACAACCUCCCAACACGUGAGCCACACAAACCCACAACCUCCCAACACAUAAGCCACACAGACCACAGCAACUUCCCAACACGCAAGCCACGCAAACUGCAACCUCCCAACACACGAGCCACGCAAACCACAGCAACUUCCCAACACAUAAGCCACAGAGACCACAGCAACUUCCCAACACACGAGCCACGCAGACUGCAACCUCCCAACACACAAGCCACACAAACCACAACCUCCCAACACAUAAGCCACGCAGACCACAGCAACUUCCCAACAUGCAAGCCACGUGAACCACAACCUCCCAACACACAAGCCACGCAGCCACAACCUCCCAACACACGGGCCACACAGACUGCAACCUUCCAACACGCAAGCCACACAGACCACUGCAACUUCCCAACACGUGAGCCACGCAGA